AGACGGAGGGCGCAAGCGUUGUUCGGAAUUACUGGGCGUAAAGGGCAGGUAGGUGGUCUGUUAAGUCUUCUGUGAAAAUCCGGGGCUCAACCCCGCGAAAUGCAGGUGAAACUGGCAGACUUGAGACCGGUAGAGGCUAGCGGAAUUCCUGGUGUAGCGGUGGAAUGCGUAGAUAUCAGGAAGAACACCUGUGGCGAAGGCGGCUAGCUGGGCCGGUUCUGACACUAAACUGCGAAAGCGUGGGGAGCAAACAGGAUUAGAUACCCCGGUAGUCC
Molecule: ribosomal RNA, 275 nt
Filed under: uncultured bacterium
Lineage: Bacteria
Description: partial 16S ribosomal RNA
Rfam family: Bacterial small subunit ribosomal RNA
Source: RNAcentral